UCGUAACAAGGUCUCCGUUGGUGAACCAGCGGAGGGAUCAUUACCGAGUUUACAACUCCCAAACCCAAUGUGAACGUUACCAAACUGUUGCCUCGGCGGGGUCACGCCCCGGGUGCGUCGCAGCCCCGGAACCAGGCGCCCGCCGGAGGAACCAACCAAACUCUUUCUGUAGUCCCCUCGCGGACGUAUUUCUUUACAGCUCUGAGCAAAAAUUCAAAAUGAAUCAAAACUUUCAACAACGGAUCUCUUGGUUCUGGCAUCGAUGAAGAACGCAGCGAAAUGCGAUAAGUAAUGUGAAUUGCAGAAUUCAGUGAAUCAUCGAAUCUUUGAACGCACAUUGCGCCCGCCAGUAUUCUGGCGGGCAUGCCUGUCCGAGCGUCAUUUCAACCCUCGAACCCCUCCGGGGGAUCGGCGUUGGGGAUCGGGACCCCUCACACGGGUGCCGGCCCCUAAAUACAGUGGCGGUCUCGCCGCAGCCUCUCCUGCGCAGUAGUUUGCACAACUCGCACCGGGAGCGCGGCGCGUCCACGUCCGUAAAACACCCAACUUUCUGAAAUGUUGACCUCGGAUCAGGUAGGAAUACCCGCUGAACUUAAGCAUAUCUA
This 605-nucleotide ribosomal RNA is filed under the name Trichoderma asperellum. Its description in RNAcentral is "eukaryotic LSU rRNA". The stretch from base 228 to 381 matches the Rfam family "5.8S ribosomal RNA". Lineage: Eukaryota; Fungi; Ascomycota; Sordariomycetes; Hypocreales; Hypocreaceae. The record is from RNAcentral.